Molecule: transfer RNA, 74 nt
Filed under: Danio rerio (zebrafish)
Lineage: Eukaryota; Metazoa; Chordata; Actinopteri; Cypriniformes; Danionidae
Rfam family: tRNA
About the family: Transfer RNA (tRNA) molecules are approximately 80 nucleotides in length.
Source: Rfam by way of RNAcentral
GGCCGGUUAGCUUAGCUGGUUAGAGUGUGGUGCUGUUAUCGACAAGGUUGCAAGUUCGAUCCCCGUACUGGCCA